CUUGUUUAAAUGUCUUGCAGACGGCGAAACAGUUCCUCCAUUUUGCCUGGGUGAUCAUACGACUUAUCAUAAAGGCUCAGCUUCUGUGCAGCCUGUUCUCGUACGUCGGGUUCUUGAACCGUAGGGACGAAGCGACGAGGAGGGACAUGGCCAGGCAAGCGGGAGGCGGGGGUGGCGCCACAAGCGUGAUGAGCGUGAUGGAGUGACGUCCGCAGCCCGCGUGGCCAUCAACGUCGACCACCAGACGCCUGCACAAUCCAGGCCUUCGAAACCAGUUUGGCGCCAGUGUUGUCUUCUUCACCCUUUUGUGUUGUCUCCUUCGUGUGCCGACCUUAGUUAGCGCGGACGCUUUUUUUUUUCAUUUUCGCAACAUCACGACGCUACCCAACGCGCCCACAUCCAGUCAGGGGUAUUGCCCUCACAUAAAUGUGCUUGAAUGUAUCCCGA
Dermacentor andersoni is the source of this 447-nucleotide long non-coding RNA. RefSeq lists it as uncharacterized. NCBI's taxonomy places the organism in Eukaryota, Metazoa, Arthropoda, Arachnida, Ixodida, Ixodidae. The record is from RefSeq and is a predicted model, not a curated record.